Molecule: ribosomal RNA, 110 nt
Filed under: Ramalina almquistii
Lineage: Eukaryota; Fungi; Ascomycota; Lecanoromycetes; Lecanorales; Ramalinaceae
Description: partial 28S ribosomal RNA
Source: RNAcentral
CAACCGCAUUAGUACCUCACGAUUGAGCUCAGAUCAGGCACGGGUACCCGCUGAACUUUAGCGGUAUCACUAAGCGGAGGGACAAGAGACAAACACGGAUUGGUCGACAU